UGGGGAAUAUUGCGCAAUGGGCGGAAGCCUGACGCAGCGACGCCGCGUGCGGGAUGAAGGCCUUCGGGUUGUAAACCGCUUUCACCAGGGACGAAGCUAACGUGACGGUACCUGGGGAAGAAGCGCCGGCUAACUACGUGCCAGCAGCCGCGGUAAUACGUAGGGCGCGAGCGUUGUCCGGAAUUAUUGGGCGUAAAGAGCUCGUAGGCGGCUGGUUGCGUCUGCUGUGAAAUCCCGGGGCUUAACCCCGGGCGUGCAGUGGAUACGGGCCGGCUGGAGGCAGGCAGGGGAGAAUGGAAUUCCCGGUGUAGCGGUGAAAUGCGCAGAUAUCGGGAGGAACACCGGUGGCGAAGGCGGUUCUCUGGGCCUGUACUGACGCUGAGGAGCGAAAGCGUGGGGAGCAAACAGGAUUAGAUACCCUGGUAGUCCACGCCGUAAACGUUGGGCGCUAGGUGUGGGUCCCUUCCACGGGGUCUGUGCCGCAGCUAACGCAUUAAGCGCCCCGCCUGGGGAGUACGGCCGCAAGGC
Molecule: ribosomal RNA, 528 nt
Filed under: uncultured bacterium
Lineage: Bacteria
Description: bacterial SSU rRNA
Rfam family: Bacterial small subunit ribosomal RNA
Source: RNAcentral